This 457-nucleotide ribosomal RNA is filed under the name uncultured bacterium. RNAcentral's name for it is "SSU rRNA". It matches the Rfam family "Bacterial small subunit ribosomal RNA", at positions 26 to 518 of the family's 1533-position model. The record is from RNAcentral.
AGAAUCAACGCUGGCGGCGUGCCUAACACAUGCAAGUCGAACGAGAAAGUGGAGCAAUCCAUGAGUAAAGUGGCGCACGGGUGAGUAACACGUGACUAACCUACCCUCGAGUGGGGAAUAACUUCGGGAAACCGAGGCUAAUACCGCAUAAAACCUAAGGGUCAAAGGAGCAAUCCGUUUGAGGAGGGGGUCGCGGCAGAUUAGUUAGUUGGCGGGGUAAUGGCCCACCAAGACGAUGAUCUGUAUCCGGCCUGAGAGGGCGCACGGACACACUGGAACUGAAACACGGUCCAGACUCCUACGGGAGGCAGCAGUGGGAAUUUGCGCAAUGGGGGAAACCCUGACGCAGCAACGCCGCGUGGAGGAUGAAAUCCCUUGGGAUGUAAACUCCUUUCGAUCGGAAGAUAAUGACGGUACCGGAAGAAGAAGCCCCGGCUAACUUCGUGCCAGCAGCCGC